UCAGAAAAUAGUAUACAACAUUACAUUUCGUUUACACCGAAAAAACGAUCAUCAACGAUCUCUUCUGAU
This 69-nucleotide transfer RNA is filed under the name Mutela dubia. Its description in RNAcentral is "tRNA-Val". The record is from RNAcentral. Lineage: Eukaryota; Metazoa; Mollusca; Bivalvia; Unionida; Mutelidae.